RNAcentral lists this ribosomal RNA (253 nucleotides) under uncultured bacterium. RNAcentral describes it as "partial 16S ribosomal RNA". It matches the Rfam family "Bacterial small subunit ribosomal RNA", at positions 524 to 776 of the family's 1533-position model. The record is from RNAcentral.
UACGUAGGUGGCAAGCGUUGUCCGGAUUUACUGGGCGUAAAGAGCGCGCAGGCGGUCGUGCAAGUCGCGUGUGAAAGCCCCCGGCUCAACUGGGGAGGGUCACGCGAUACUGCUCGACUCGAAGGCAGGAGAGGGAAGUGGAAUUCCAGGUGUAGCGGUGAAAUGCGUAGAUAUCUGGAGGAACACCGGUGGCGAAGGCGGCAUCCUGGACCGACACUGACGCUGAGGAGCGAAAGCCAGGGGAGCAAACGGG